AGUGAACGCUGGCGGCAGGCCUAAUACAUGCAAGUCGAACGGCAGCACAGCAGAGCUUGCUCUGUGGGUGGCGAGUGGCGGACGGGUGAGGAAUACGUGGGAAUCUGCCCAGUCGUGGGGGAUAACGUAGGGAAACUUACGCUAAUACCGCAUGCGCCCUUCGGGGAAAGCCGGGGACCGUUCGGGCCGUGGCGCGAUUGGAUGAGCCCACGUCGGAUUAGCUAGUUGGCGGGGUAAAGGGACCCACCAAGGCGACGAUCCGUAGCUGGUCUGAGAGGAUGAUCAGCCACACUGGAACUGAGACACGGUCCAGACUCCUACGGGAGGCAGCAGUAGGGAAUAUUGGAC
This 348-nucleotide ribosomal RNA is filed under the name uncultured bacterium. RNAcentral describes it as "bacterial SSU rRNA". It matches the Rfam family "Bacterial small subunit ribosomal RNA", at positions 30 to 369 of the family's 1533-position model. The record is from RNAcentral.